GGUUAUGCUUUUAAGAGCGUAUGGUGGAUGCCUUGGCACUAAGAGCCGAUGAAAGACGUGACAAGCUGCGAUAAGCUUCGGGGAGGGGCAAAUACCCAUCGAUCCGGAGAUUUCUGAAUGGGGAAACCCACUAAAGCAAACCUUUAGUAUCCUUAACCCAAUCCAUAAGUUAAGGAGGGGAACCCGGUGAACUGAAACAUCUAAGUAGCCGGAGGAAGAGAAAACAACAUGUGAUUCCGGAAGUAGCGGCGAGCGAAACCGGAAGAGCCCAAACCAGGGUGCGUGCACCCUGGGGUUCGGACCGUAUAAUUGAUUCAUGACAGAUAGCAGAAUGGUUUUGGGAAAGCCAGCCAGAGAGGGUGAAAGCCCCGUAGGCAAAAUCUGAAAUGACAUGGCGGUAUCCAGAGUACCACGAGACACGAGAAACCUUGUGGGAAUAUGCGGGGACCACCCCGUAAGGCUAAAUACUACUUAGUGACCGAUAGCGCAUAGUACUGUGAAGGAAAGGUGAAAAGGACCCCGGGAGGGGAGUGAAAGAGAACCUGAAACCAUAUGUUUACAAGCUGUAU
Ribosomal RNA from Clostridium sp. C105KSO13, 569 nucleotides. It matches the Rfam family "Bacterial large subunit ribosomal RNA", at positions 1 to 576 of the family's 2925-position model. The record is from Rfam. NCBI's taxonomy places the organism in Bacteria, Bacillati, Bacillota, Clostridia, Eubacteriales, Clostridiaceae.